AACGGCCAUACCAUGCUGAAUAUACCGGUUCUCGUUAGAUCACCGAAGUCAAGCAUCAUUGGGUGCGGUCAGUACUAGCUGGUACCACCUGGGAACACCGCGUGCCGUU
Molecule: non-coding RNA, 109 nt
Organism: Caerostris darwini
Lineage: Eukaryota; Metazoa; Arthropoda; Arachnida; Araneae; Araneidae
Source: the annotation of a GenBank genome assembly